RNAcentral lists this ribosomal RNA (468 nucleotides) under Epeurysa distincta. Its description in RNAcentral is "partial 16S ribosomal RNA". The record is from RNAcentral. Lineage: Eukaryota; Metazoa; Arthropoda; Insecta; Hemiptera; Delphacidae.
UUUAAAUAGCUGCAGUAAUUUAACUGUACAAAGGUAGCAUAAUAAUUAGUCUUUUAAUUGAGGUCUGGAAUGAAUGGAUUAACAAAAUAAUAACUUUAUUAGGUUAAAUAAAUUUUAACUUUCUUUUUUAGUUAAAAAGCUAAAAUUUUUAAAUGGGACGAUAAGACCCUAUAGAUCUUUAAUUUUUUAAAAUUAAUUUUUUUUUAGAUUGAUUAAAAAUUUAAAUUUAAAAAAUUUUAGUUGGGGUGACUAAAAAAAUUUUAAAACUUUUUUUAAUUUUAUCAUAAAUUAAUGUUUUUUUAGAUCUUAAUUAUUUAGAUUUUAAAAAUAAGAUACCUUAGGGAUAACAGCGUAGAAAUUUGGAUAGUUCAUAUUGAUAAAUUUAUUUACGACCUCGAUGUUGAAUUAAUUAUAAAUUUUAAAGCAGAAAUUAAUAAUUUAGGUCUGUUCGACCUUUAAUUAAUUACA